Candoia aspera is the source of this 391-nucleotide long non-coding RNA. RefSeq lists it as uncharacterized. The transcript has 4 exons. The record is from RefSeq and is a predicted model, not a curated record. Lineage: Eukaryota; Metazoa; Chordata; Lepidosauria; Squamata; Candoiidae.
AGACCACUUCUCCCGCCUUAUGCCAUUACUCCUGACUAUUCCCUUGAUGGACCGUCUUAUCUCUUUAUUCCUAGCCCUAUCGUAGACAACCAUGGAUACAUGAGAGAAGCAAUUAAACAACGUGGAGCAAUGAUAAUUGAUAGGACUCAGGAGACAGGACCAGGUCCUGCCUGGGAAGAGAAGUGGAUUAAUUAUGUCAACGUCAUCAACUCCAUUAAGCCAUGGAGAACGGCUGGCAAACCAUUCGUGUGUGACCGGCUUUGGCUCUGGACUUGCUGAAAAGGAAGGAAGGAAGGAAAGAAAGAAAAUCCAUGGGGACUGCCUGUAAGCUCUUGGGACUUUAUUAAAUUUGCCAGUUCCCAGACCAGAACAACUGGCCUGGAUAAACAGA